This 72-nucleotide transfer RNA is filed under the name Bacteroidota bacterium. RNAcentral's name for it is "Bacteroidetes bacterium (freshwater metagenome) tRNA-Arg". It matches the Rfam family "tRNA". From Rfam's summary of the family: Transfer RNA (tRNA) molecules are approximately 80 nucleotides in length. Their secondary structure includes four short double-helical elements and three loops (D, anti-codon, and T loops). RNAcentral also lists the same sequence under 1 other name. Lineage: Bacteria; Pseudomonadati; Bacteroidota. The record is from RNAcentral.
GGUCCCGUAGUUCAACGGAUAGAACGGAAGUUUCCUAAACUUUAAAUACAGGUUCGAUUCCUGUCGGGAUCA